UACGUAGGUGGCAAGCGUUGUCCGGAUUUACUGGGCGUAAAGAGCGCGCAGGCGGUCGAGUAAGUCGAAUGUGAAAGCCCCCGGCUUAACUGGGGAGGGUCAUUCGAUACUGUUCGACUUGAAGGCAGGAGAGGGCAGCAGAAUUCCCGGUGUAGUGGUGAAAUGCGUAGAUAUCUGGAGGAACACCGGUGGCGAAGGCGGCAUCCUGGACCGGUAUUGACGCUGAGGCGCGAAAGCCAGGGGAGCAAACGGG
RNAcentral lists this ribosomal RNA (253 nucleotides) under uncultured bacterium. RNAcentral's name for it is "partial 16S ribosomal RNA". It matches the Rfam family "Bacterial small subunit ribosomal RNA", at positions 524 to 776 of the family's 1533-position model. The record is from RNAcentral.